GACGAACGCUGGCGGCGUGCUUAACACAUGCAAGUCGAACGCUGAAGCUCAGCUUUUGUUGGGUGGAUGAGUGGCGAACGGGUGAGUAACACGUGAGUAACCUGCCCCCUUCUUUGGGAUAACGCCCGGAAACGGGUGCUAAUACUGGAUAUUCACUGGUCUUCGCAUGGGGGUUGGUGGAAAGGGUUUUUCUGGUGGGGGAUGGGCUCGCGGCCUAUCAGCUUGUUGGUGGGGUGAUGGCCUACCAAGGCUUUGACGGGUAGCCGGCCUGAGAGGGUGACCGGUCACAUUGGGACUGAGAUACGGCCCAGACUACUACGGGAGGCAGCAGUGGGGAAUAUUGCACAAUGGGCGCAAGCGUGAUGCAGCGACGCCGCGUGAGGGAUGGAGGCCUUCGGGUUGUGAACCUCUUUCGCUAAUGGUCAAGCCGCAACAAUGGUUGUGGUGAGGGUAGUGGGUAAAGAAGCGCCGGCUAACUACGUG
This 483-nucleotide ribosomal RNA is filed under the name uncultured bacterium. RNAcentral's name for it is "partial 16S ribosomal RNA". It matches the Rfam family "Bacterial small subunit ribosomal RNA", at positions 28 to 507 of the family's 1533-position model. The record is from RNAcentral.